Molecule: transfer RNA, 74 nt
Filed under: Perca fluviatilis (European perch)
Lineage: Eukaryota; Metazoa; Chordata; Actinopteri; Perciformes; Percidae
Description: tRNA-Phe
Source: RNAcentral
GUUUCCGUGAGUGUAGUGGUUAUCGCGUUUGCCUAAACCGCAAAAGGUCCCCUGUUCGAAACAGGGCGGAAACA